This 1058-nucleotide ribosomal RNA is filed under the name Salmonella enterica. RNAcentral describes it as "partial 23S ribosomal RNA". It matches the Rfam family "Bacterial large subunit ribosomal RNA", at positions 161 to 1256 of the family's 2925-position model. RNAcentral also lists the same sequence under 1 other name. The record is from RNAcentral. Lineage: Bacteria; Pseudomonadati; Pseudomonadota; Gammaproteobacteria; Enterobacterales; Enterobacteriaceae.
AAUCCAUAGGUUAAUGAGGCGAACCGGGGGAACUGAAACAUCUAAGUACCCCGAGGAAAAGAAAUCAACCGAGAUUCCCCCAGUAGCGGCGAGCGAACGGGGAGGAGCCCAGAGCCUGAAUCAGCAUGUGUGUUAGUGGAAGCGUCUGGAAAGGCGCGCGAUACAGGGUGACAGCCCCGUACACAAAAGCGCAUGUGCUGUGAGCUCGAUGAGUAGGGCGGGACACGUGGUAUCCUGUCUGAAUAUGGGGGGACCAUCCUCCAAGGCUAAAUACUCCUGACUGACCGAUAGUGAACCAGUACCGUGAGGGAAAGGCGAAAAGAACCCCGGCGAGGGGAGUGAAAAAGAACCUGAAACCGUGUACGUACAAGCAGUGGGAGCACAGGUUUACCUGUGUGACUGCGUACCUUUUGUAUAAUGGGUCAGCGACUUAUAUUCUGUAGCAAGGUUAACCGAAUAGGGGAGCCGGAGGGAAACCGAGUCUUAAUUGGGCGUUAAGUUGCAGGGUAUAGACCCGAAACCCGGUGAUCUAGCCAUGGGCAGGUUGAAGGUUGGGUAACACUAACUGGAGGACCGAACCGACUAAUGUUGAAAAAUUAGCGGAUGACCUGUGGCUGGGGGUGAAAGGCCAAUCAAACCGGGAGAUAGCUGGUUCUCCCCGAAAGCUAUUUAGGUAGCGCCUCGUGAAUUCAUCUCCGGGGGUAGAGCACUGUUUCGGCUAGGGGGCCAUCCCGGCUUACCAACCCGAUGCAAACUGCGAAUACCGGAGAAUGUUAUCACGGGAGACACACGGCGGGUGCUAACGUCCGUCGUGAAGAGGGAAACAACCCAGACCGCCAGCUAAGGUCCCAAAGUCAUGGUUAAGUGGGAAACGAUGUGGGAAGGCCCAGACAGCCAGGAUGUUGGCUUAGAAGCAGCCAUCAUUUAAAGAAAGCGUAAUAGCUCACUGGUCGAGUCGGCCUGCGCGGAAGAUGUAACGGGGCUAAACCAUGCACCGAAGCUGCGGCAGCGACACUGUGUGUUGUUGGGUAGGGGAGCGUUCUGUAAGCCUGUGAAGG